CCUAAUACAUGCAAGUCGAGCGGUAACAGGGGGUUCCACCGUGCUCUUGACACUCUGGGCUUAUAUAGCGAGAGGUUAGAAUUCGAGAGUACAGUGGAACCUUGCUGACGAGCGGCGAACGGCUGAGUAACGCGUGGGAACGUACCCCAAACUGAGGGAUAACUACUCGAAAGAGUGGCUAAUACCGCAUGUGCUCUUCGGAGUAAAGCUUUUGCGGUUUGGGAAUGGCCUGCGUACGAUUAGAUAGUUGGUGAGGUAAUGGCUCACCAAGUCGACGAUCGUUAGAUGGUUUGAGAGGAUGAUCAUCCAGACUGGGACUGAGACACGGCCCAGACUCCUACGGGAGGCAGCAGUAGGGAAUCUUUCACAAUGGGCGCAAGCCUGAUGGAGCAAUGCCGCGUGCAGGAUGAAGGCCUUCGGGUUGUAAACUGCUUUUAUAAGCGAGAAAUAUGAUGGUAACUUAUGAAUAAGGAUCGGCUAACUACGUGCC
Molecule: ribosomal RNA, 490 nt
Filed under: uncultured organism
Description: SSU rRNA
Rfam family: Bacterial small subunit ribosomal RNA
Source: RNAcentral